AGAGUUUGAUCCUGGCUCAGAUUGAACGCUGGCGGCAUGCCUUACACAUGCAAGUCGAACGGCAGCAUGACGUGUAGCAAUACACGUUGAUGGCGAGUGGCGAACGGGUGAGUAAUAUAUCGGAACGUGUCCUGUAGCGGGGGAUAACCUAUCGAAAGAUGGACUAAUACCGCAUACGCUCUACGGAGGAAAGCGGGGGUCGCAAGACCUCGCACUAUAGGAGCGGCCGAUAUCGGAUUAGCUAGUUGGCGGGGUAAAAGCCCACCAAGGCGACGAUCCGUAGCUGGUCUGAGAGGAUGAUCAGCCACACUGGAACUGAGACACGGUCCAGACUCCUACGGGAGGCAGCAGUGGGGAAUUUUGGACAAUGGGCGCAAGCCUGAUCCAGCCAUGCCGCGUGAGUGAAGAAGGCCUUCGGGUUGUAAAGCUCUUUCGGCAGGAACGAAAUGGUUCGUGUUAAUACCACGGACUGAUGACGGUACCUGAAGAAGAAGCACCGGCUAACUACGUGCCAGCAGCCGCGGUAAUACGUAGGGUGCAGGCGUUAAUCGGAAUUACUGGGCGUAAAGCGUGCGCAGGCGGUUUCUUAAGUCAGAUGUGAAAGCCCCGGGCUUAACCUGGGAACUGCGUUUGAAACUGGGAGACUUGAGUGUGGCAGAGGGGGGUGGAAUUCCACGUGUAGCAGUGAAAUGCGUAGAUAUGUGGAGGAACACCGAUGGCGAAGGCAGCCCCCUGGGUUAACACUGACGCUCAUGCACGAAAGCGUGGGGAGCAAACAGGAUUAGAUACCCCGGUAGUCC
Molecule: ribosomal RNA, 800 nt
Filed under: uncultured bacterium
Lineage: Bacteria
Description: bacterial SSU rRNA
Rfam family: Bacterial small subunit ribosomal RNA
Source: RNAcentral